UAGAGGUUAGAAUUUCAAUAUUGUGCUUCUAAUGUAGAUGAACAUAGUGAUUGAAGAAGAACCGAAAUGGACAUGUAUGAUUGAACCCGAGAGAUGUGUGAAUGUGGGACUUGGACUUGACCAUAGUAAACAAAGGUGACAUUGACUAUAGAGACAAGAUUGGCAUUGACAAAAAUGACUAGAAAGUGACAUGAACAAAUAGGUAGAAAACCUAUCAUAAAAGUGGCAUUGUGACUAGUGGCUAUGUAUCCUCAACUUGAGGAUUGGAUCGAGGCUCACGUGGACUUAGGCUUGAGGGAGGUCGCUCCUCCUCAAGUGGUGUACUUCGAAGUGUAGACACCAACGGGGAAGAACCCCGUCGACGAUCCCUCGGGUGGUUGUGCUUAAAGCCUCCCUCGGUAGACGGGGGAUGGAUUGGUGAGCUAUUGGGGUUAACAAAGUUAACCGGUAAGAUUGGGUACAGAAAGAUAGAGUAAUGAAAAAGAACAUGCAUGGAUGCAUAUUAUAUAUUGUUGAAUACAUAUAUCCACUGAUAUUCUUUUGUAGGCAUAGUAUUAGAUGCAUUAGUACUGGUUACUUUUCCUUCCUUGAAAUACUUAUGCCUGGAUAGACCUAGUGGGUAAGUCGGCGAGGUCGGAUGUCGAGCCCACUGGGAACUUCGUUUAGUUCUCACACAACUAAUCCUACAGGUCCUAGCACGAGCGGGGCGGCGGAGGACCGAGGCAAGGGUAUAGCGCCGUAGGUAGCGGCCACCGGGAUUUUCCUAUUUUGUAGCCAUUUCCCUUUUGGUAUACAAGUAUCAACUUUAUUUUGUUGAUUUAGAGAUGUAAAGUUGUAAACAAUCAUGUAAUUUGGUGGAUGGCUAAAUGUAAAAAGAAAUGAUGAAUGAAUGGAAAAGAAUGUAAUAGUUAAUUUACUUGUAUUUGGUUCAAAUGCAAUCAAGUACCUUGUAUGUUGUAUGAUGUAGCUUAGAGCUUUCGCUUCCGUUGUUGCUUGUCCUCGUGCAAACCUUGUAUUAUAUAUGCAAAUCUCUUGUUGAUUGCUUAUUCAUACAUAUUGUUAGAGCCUUGGGCGAACAGGGGAGGCUCUGUCCGUUCGGCGUCUGUUGACGUGACCCGAACCCGACCAAAUUGGCGGGGAUUGGGGCGUGACAGAUAUAAUGGUAUCAGAGCGAAGUUGAAAGCAAAAGUCUAGGAAUGACCUAGGAACCAGAGGUUUGAAGACCAUAGGGACUUAGGAAAACGUUUAACGUGGACUUGGUUUAUGCAAAAGCGAAUGAUUCGGUCAACGGUAACACUUCUCUAGAAGGAAGUAGAGAUGGACUAGGAGGCUUAAUUGUUGUCUACUUAAGGGACCUUGUGGGGCGGCCGACCACAUGACACCAAGAAUGGAAACGAUUAUGCUUGUUGCUUUCGCUUAAUUGGGUAGUUAUUUGGAACGUGUAAGAGUCACGUGUCUCGAGUGCUAAUGUGUGUGCAUUGCGUUUCAGGACGCGAUGGCACCGCCGAGGAGAGUUACGAGGUCUACACCGGCGGAGCCUCGGGAGGAGCCCGGGCAGUCAGGGUCGGACGAAGUGCGCGAGUUGCGAGCCCAGGUAGCGGCUUUGGCCGGGGCUAUGCGGCUUCAAGGGGAGCAGAUUGGGCAGCUCCACGUGAUGAUGGUGCAAUAGGCGGCGGCGGCGGCCUCGGUGCCGAGGGAUCCACCCCCACUGGCUGCUCCUGUAGCACCACCUCCUGCGGUGGCGGCAGCGCCAGUGACGAUGGUUCCUUCGACGGCAUCGGGUUCAUCGACUCCUAUUCCCGAUGUACUUGAGGCCGAGCAGGAGCGCACGUUGGCGGCGCUGACGGCAUUCAAGCGAUUCAACCCUCCAACCUUCAAUGGUGAUGUGAAGGAUCCGUGGGUGACGGAGAGUUGGCUAGCCGCGAUGGAGGCGUUGUUCGAGGAUAUCUAUACCCUCGAGAAGGAUAAAGUUCACCUUGCGGCACAUUGUUUCGAUGGGCCGGCCCGCUUGUGGUGGAAUCAGGCAAAGAAAAAUCGCUCGUUAGGGCACGCUUUUCUUACUUGCCAGGCGUUUCGGGAGAUGCUGCUUAUGGAGUAUUUCCCCGAGAGCGACAAAAGGAAAAUCAAGGAGGAUUUUCGGAAGCUAAGGUAGGGAAGCCGAUCGGUGCGGGAGUACGAGAGGGAAUUCACGCACAUGAUUAACUGCGUGCCGGCUUGGUUCACGGUGAUAGGGACCGAGCGGAGGUGUUUGAGCGCGGGUUGCGACCCGAGAUUUUCAAGGUCAUACAUGCCUUCCGUUUGAAGACCUACGAGGAGGUUCUUGACCGCGCGCUCUGGGUGGAGCGCGGGAAUGCCAUUGCGCGUGAUGAGCGCGAGACUUUUGAGAGGGACAGGGAGAAAGAUAAGUCCAAGAAGCGACCGGCUGUUGGUUCGGCGGGCCAAUCAAGCUCAAAGCGACCCCCGCGACCUCAGUGAUCACAGGGGCGGGGAGGCAGGAGCCAGGCGACUUUCUUCCCGUGUGUUAUUUGCGGCGGGAACCAUAGGCCCACGGAUUGUUCCCAGCGCGGGGGGAGAUGUUAUCGGUACGGCUCUGCUGGACACAUGAGUUGGGAGUGCUCGGGCGGUGCAUCCCCGGCUCUGUCAUCAGCUUCAGUCCAGUACACCCCACGGCAGCAGGCGGGGCUGCCACCCGCCAUAUCUGCUGGACGAUCGUCGGCGCCUCGUUAGCCGGAGGCCUCUCGAGCACCUAGUGGGCGGGUAUUUGCCACUUAGGUGGAGGAGCCACCAAUUAUUGUUCCCAACGACGUCGUGGCAGGUAUUAUUCUUAUCAGAGGCACUAGGGCUAGAGCCAUAUUUGAUACAGGUGCAUCUCAAUCAUUCAUAACAGCAUCAUUUGCACUAGCUCAUGACAUAGAGGUUAUGCAUUAUGAGGAUUAUUGGACGGUGACAGCACCUGGACUUACGUUUCAUGUGCAUGAUGAAUGUUUAGACUGUCCAGUACAGAUAGGCGAUUGGAUCAUGCCGAUCGACUUGUUAGUGUUGAAGCAAUUGUGGAGAUUUGACGUACUCUUGGGCACCAAUUGGCUCUCCAAGUAUUACGCGGUUAUCGAUUGCGAAAGGAAGGUUAUCACUUUUCGUGAGCUUAACCAAGAGGAGAUGGUCUACAAGGCGUGUAAUGGUGCGCGUUUCGCGGCGACCAUAUCGUCAGUGAGGGCGAAGAAACUGAUCAAGGGUGGUUGCAAGGCCUACUUGGCGACCAUCGUAGACCCUCAAAGGGAAUACGCGGAAUUGGAAAAUAUUCGGGUGGUGUGCGAGUACCCGGAUGUAUUUUCGGCGGAGUUACCGGGAUUGCCACCGGAUCGGGAAGUCGGGUUCGUCAUUGACUUGAUUCCCGGGGCGGCGCCAAUUUCGAAGGCUCCGUAUAGAAUGGCACCGGUGGAGUUAAAAGAGUUAAAAGCCCAGUUGCAAGACUUGCUCGAUAAAGGCUUCGUACGGCCGAGCGUGUCUCCGUGGGGAGCUCCGGUGCUAUUUGUAAAGAAGAAGGACGGCACACUCCGACUCUGCGUUGACUAUCGCGAGUUGAAUAGAGUGACGAUCAAGAACAAGUACCCACUGCCGAGAAUUGACGAUCUAUUCGAUCAGUUACAAGGGUCAAGGGUAUAUUCUAAAAUUGAUCUCUAGUCGGGGUAUCAUCAAUUGAAGAUACGACCCAAGGAUGUGCACAAAACGGCGUACCGUACGCGGUAUGGCCAUUACGAAUUCACGGUGAUGCCGUUUGGGCUUACUAAUGCCCCAGCAGCAUUCAUGGACUUGAUGAAUAGAGUCUUCCGUCCGCUAUUGGACCGGUGCGUCGUGGUUUUCAUUGACGACGUAUUGGUAUAUUCUCGGACCGAAGAAGAACAUGAGGAGCAUUUAAGGCUCGUGUUGGAGAUACUCCGGAAGGAAAAGCUUUAUGCAAAAUUGAAGAAAUGUGAGUUUUGGCUUUCGGAGGUUACUUUCUUGGGCCACGUUGUAUCCGUAGAUGGCAUUUCGGUGGACCCAAAGAAAGUUGAGGCGAUUAAAGAUUGGCCUCGCCCAACAAGUGCAGCGGAAGUUCGUAGCUUCCUUGGACUUGCGGGCUACUACCGGCGGUUCGUGGAGGGGUUUGGCAGGAUAACAACUCCACUAACGCGCCUCACGCACAAAGGGAUGAAGUAUGUUUGGAGCCCCGAGUGUGAGCGGAGCUUUGAGGAGCUAAAGAAUAGACUAACAUAUACUCCAGUGCUUGCUUUGCCGAUGCUGGGAGAGAGUUACGUCAUUUAUAGUGAUGCCUCGUACGUUGGCCUCGGGUGUGUCUUAAUGCAAAACGGCCGAGUCAUAGCCUAUGCAUCGCGUCAGUUGAAGACAUACGAAAAGAAUUACCCGACAUAUGAUCUUGAACUAGCGGUGGUUAUUUUCACGCUAAAGCUUUGGAGGCAUUACUUAUAUGGGGAACAUUGUGAGAUUUACACCGACCAUAAGAGUCUCAAAUACUUGUUCACCUAAAAGGAGCUAAACUUGCGACAGCGGCGGUGGUUAGAGUUGCUCAAGGAUUAUGAUGUCACGAUUCUCUACCACCCCGGGAAAGCGAACGUUGUGGCCGAUGCUCUAAGUAGAAAGUCGGCGGAGAAUUUGGCGACGAAAAUUACACCUCAACCGGCUUUGCAAAAGGAGAUGCAGCGGUUUGGUCUAGAAGUUGUGGCACCGGGAGUGCCGGCAACACUUGCCACCUUGGUUGUGCAACCAACCUUGUUGGAGAAGCUUAAGGGAUUACAAGCAUCGGAUGAAUUUCUCCAAAAGGUGCGGGGCAAAGUUGAGAGCGAUAGUGCCGAUGAUUUUGGCAUUGGAACCGACGGUGCACUACGAUAUCGGGAUCGUUGGUGCGUGCCCAAGGACGACGAUCUUCGGAGGGCGAUUAUGCAAGAAGCGCAUAUCUCCCUAUAGCAUUCACCCGGGCGGCGCCAAAAUGUAUCGGGACCUGAAAUUGCAUUAUUGGUGGCCGGGCAUGAAGAAAGAUAUAGGAGAGUUUGUGGCACAGUGCCUCACGUGCCAACAAGUGAAGGCGGAGCGUCGAUUUCCGGCGGAAAAGUUGCAAAGUCUACCUAUACCCGUGUGGAAAUGGAAAAACAUCGCAAUGGAUUUUGUGACAGGUAUGCCUAAAUCACAAGGUGGACAUGACGCGAUUUGGGUAGUUGUGGACCGGUUGACAAAAUCGGCACACUUUCUGCCGAUCCACACUACUUGGUCGGGAGACAAGUUAGCUCAAGUCUAUAUUGACGAGGUGGUGAGACUUCAUGGGGUUCCGGUAUCUAUAGUAUCGGAUCGGGACCCUAGGUUCACGUCUCAUUUUUGGAAGAGCUUACGAGAUGCAUUGGGCACACGGCUCGACUUUAGCAUGGCAUUCCAUCCUCAAAGUGACGGUCAAUCGGAAAGGACUAUUCAAAUACUUGAGGACAUGCUUCGAGCGUGUGUACUUGAUUAUAAGGGCGGAUGGCACGAUCACUUGCCGAUGGCGGAAUUCGCAUACAAUAAUAGCUAUCAAGAAAGUAUUGCGAUGGCACCAUUCGAGGCCCUGUAUGGAAGAAAAUGUGAGACCCCAAAUAGUCCUAUAUAUGAGAUAUAAUAGGGCUAAACUCUUAACCCGGCUUAAGCAUUUUGGGUGGUGGCAAGGCCCAAGAGGUUAAGAGAGUUAAGCGUGCUAGGACGGGAGUAGUCCUAGGAUGGGUGACCCCUUGGGAAGUCGGGGCGUCACAGAAAAUGUCACUCGCGAAUACAUUGGAGCGAUGUGGGCGAGAAGAUGGUUCUUGGCCCGGAUGUGGUGCGGGAGGCGGAAGAGAAGGUUCACCUUGCCUGACAAAGAUUAGCGACGGCGCAAUCGAGGCACAAGAGUUAUGCCGACAAGCGGCGAAAGGAUAUUGAGUUCGCGGUAGGAGACCGCGUAUUUCUAAAAGUAUCGCCGAUGCGAGGAGUAAAGCGGUUCGGUGUUCGCGGGAAGCUAAGUCUCCGCUAUAUCGGACCUUUCGAGAUUUUGGAACGAGUUGGCGCGGUGGCCUACAAGUUAGCGUUACUACCGAGGCUCGCGGGAGUACAAGAUGUAUUUCAUGUAUCCCAACUCCGCAAGUAUGUCUAUGACCCAGAUCAUGUCCUCUCGUAUAUACCGAUAGAGCUCCAAGAGGAUAUGACUUAUGAGGAGUUCCCGGCUUAUAUCGUGGAUCGGGAAGCGAGGAAACUAAGGAACUAGGAAAUCCCGUAUGUUAAAGUUCAUUGGAGUGAACAUGAUGACCGGGAAGAAACUUAGAAACUGGAGAGCGAGAUGCGGGAGCGCCAUCCUCAUCUCUUCGAUGAGUUGAAUUGAGGUAAAGAUUUCGAUUCCGAAUAAGUAGUUUCGCGGACGAAACUAAAUUUUAGGGGUGGAGAAUGUAACACACCACAUCCCUCGUAAAUUGUGCCGAGUUCCGUUGAAACGGGCGGAAUGCAGAAUGAAACGAGUUAGAGUAGACCCUAAGUGCAUUAGAGUCCAUAAAUGAAGCAAAAAGGGACCCGAGAAAGCAAAUCUGAAAAUCUGGCUAAGUCUCAGAUUUUGAGCUCUCGGGGACCGGUCCGUGAAGGAGAGACCGGUCCCCGUACGCAUAGCCUGCCAGGAAUCCUGAGGCAACCGGUCCCUGGCAGUGAGACCGGUCCUCGGGAGACUGGUCCCUGAAGGAGAGACCGGUUCCUCGCUGCGCAGCCAGCCAAAAAACUUGAAAAUUUGGCUAAGUCCUGGAAAACCCACGUUCGGGAACCGGUCCCUGGUCGGGGAGACCGGUCCCCGACAGUGAAAAACGCCCAGUCUGGGCAGUGCACUAUGAAACAAGUGGAGGGGCUUAAGUGCAAUUGUCACAACAUGUUAUAUGGCCAUCCCCUUCACUCUCACAACCAUUUCUCUCAUCUCUCAUUUUCUCUUUUUCUAACCCUAGAGCUUGGAGAAAAAGGAGAAGAAGAUAGUGGAGGGAUAUUUGGAGGUUUUGGAGUUUCUAGAAGCUCUCCAACAAGAGGAUCUUGGUGGGGCUUGGACUAGAGGUAAGUUUUGUAAGGUUUUCCUCUAGGGUUUGGAUUUUGGUUUAGGGAUUUGGAGCUUUGUGCUCCUUAGAGGCUUUAUAGGCUCUUUUGAGCCAUGAAUACCAUGGUACCCAUAAGAGCUUAAGGUGCUCUCAUGGUGAACACUUGGGGGCUAGGAUAGAUGCCCUAGGGAUGGUUCUAAAGGCUUGGAAACCUUAUUAGAAAGCUUCCUAGGUGAUUCUAAGCUAGUAUUUGCUUAGGGUUGAGAUCAAUCUAGGAGUUGAGCCAAAAUGACAUUGUUAGGGCUUGAAAAUUGGGGCUUUUGCCCUAGAAUUUUUCGGGGACGAAUUGACCCCGUAGAAACCUAAUUGGGGGUGCCCUAAAUGCGUGGGACAACUCCGUUUAACGUUACGAAAAUGUUAGAGUAUAGUUCAUGUGCAAAAGGCCUAAUAUGGCACUAUUUUUGUUAUAGGGCGUGGAAUCGGUUUUCGUAAAGUUCGGGAGUCAUCACAUUCUACACCCACACGAUCAUUAGAGGUGGGGGGUACACGCCGGAAUCGUUGGAUUCCUUUCUAUGUUUGUUUCACUUUUGUUGAGCAUUUUGUUAUAUAACCAUUCAUGCAUAGUAGGGUAAUCUUACAUGUGACUAGAGGUUAGAAUUUCAAUAUUGUGCUUCUAAUGUAGAUGAACAUAGUGAUUGAAGAAGAAUCGAAAUGGACAUGUAUGAUUGAACCCGAGAGAUGUGUGAAUGUGGGACUUGGACUUGACCAUAGUAAACAAAGGUGACAUUGACUAUAGAGACAAGAUUGGCAUUAACAAAAAUGACUAGAAAGUGACAUGAACAAAUAGGUAGAAAAUCUAUCAUAAAAGUGGCAUUGUGACUAGUGGUUAUGUAUCCUCAACUUGAGAAUUGGAUCGAGGCUCACGUGGACUUAGGCUUGAGGGAGGUCGCUCCUCCUCAAGUGGUGUACUUCGAAGUGUAGACA
This 8042-nucleotide long non-coding RNA is filed under the name Ananas comosus (pineapple). Its description in RNAcentral is "long non-coding RNA (ACOM_LNC043200)". The record is from RNAcentral. Lineage: Eukaryota; Viridiplantae; Streptophyta; Magnoliopsida; Poales; Bromeliaceae.